GAUGAACGCUGGCGGCGUGCCUAAUACAUGCAAGUCGAGCGAAAAGAUGAGGAGCUUGCUCCUCGGACGUUAGAGGCGGACGGGAGAGUAACAUGAGGAUAACCUAACUAUAAGACUGGGAUAACUACGGGAAACCGGAGCUAAUAACGGAUAAUAUAUUGAAGCGCAGGGUUCAAUAGUUAAAGACGGUGUUGCUGUCACUUAUAGAUGGAUCCGCGCCGCUUUAGCUAGUUGGUAAGGUAACGGCGUACUAAGGCGAGGAUGCGUUGCCGACCCGGGAGGGGGAUCGCGCACACGGGGGCUGAACCACCACCCUGGGUCCUACGGGAGGCCGCAGUACCGAAGCGUGCGAGAUGGGGGGAAUCUUGACCGAGCAACGCCGGGUUGAUGCUGAAGGUCCUCGGGUCGGAAAACUCUCUUAGUGGUGAAGAACAAAUUUGUCAGGAACUAUGCACGUUUUGACGGUACCUGAUCAGAAAGCACCGGCUAACUACGUG
Molecule: ribosomal RNA, 497 nt
Filed under: uncultured bacterium
Lineage: Bacteria
Description: partial 16S ribosomal RNA
Rfam family: Bacterial small subunit ribosomal RNA
Source: RNAcentral